UCCAGGUCUGCCUCCCCCCUGAACUUUGUCAAACACAGGAAAACACACACAGAAGCAAAUUCACAGGAGCAAACACAGAGAGGAGCCGCUGAGUUUGAUUCCAUCCAUGGCGGUCUGUCCCUCGCUGAUGUUCGGAGGUCAGGGGCGUGAUGUCCAUCCACAACUCCUGGUUUCACAAAGGCAGACGCAAGAAUUGCGUUUGGACAAUCAACUCCAGACCUCCACGUCUCCUUUGGUCAUUAGAGGACUCACAUUCCUGAAGAGGCAGGUGCAUCGCCUGGUUGUGUGGCAGUUGGUGCAGAGCUGAUUUAGUGAUUUAAGUUUCAAGCCACCAAGGCCUGGGAGAGGAUCCAAAAUAUCAGUUUGUCCACUUGCUGAGAAGAAAGGUUCAAGCAGUGUUUGUCCGUGGCCCUCACCCACAAUCAGCGAUUGUGGGUGAAAAAAAAGAAAGACCUGAAAAAAGAAAUAACCAAGAAUAAGCCUGAGAAAGAGAAAGGGAAAAAGCGCUAACUCAUGCUUGUAUUCUGAGCCGGUGACACCAUGAUAAACGAAGGGGUCACCACCCGGGGGCAGGCCCGUCCUAAAGGAGCCAGCGCUGUGACCUUGCACAAAAGAAGGAGUGGGUCCCCCCCAACGGUCACACGGAUCAAAGAGGACAAAAGCCUGAGAUGAUAACUCAGCACAGCAGUUGUGCACCUGAUUAUCAAGCACAUAAGCAACAGGGAUAGAAAAUUUCCCCAACUUAGCUCAAGUGAGGGUGGAGUAACGGGAUGCUUGAGAAUUAAAAAGUAAAACCAUGA
Long non-coding RNA from Poecilia latipinna (sailfin molly), 800 nucleotides. RefSeq lists it as uncharacterized. The record is from RefSeq and is a predicted model, not a curated record. The transcript is spliced from 2 exons. Lineage: Eukaryota; Metazoa; Chordata; Actinopteri; Cyprinodontiformes; Poeciliidae.